ACGAACGCUGGCGGCGUGCCUAAUACAUGCAAGUAGAACGCUGAAGAGAAGAGCUUGCUCUUCUUGGAUGAGUUGCGAACGGGUGAGUAACGCGUAGGUAACCUGCCUUGUAGCGGGGGAUAACUAUUGGAAACGAUAGCUAAUACCGCAUAACAAUGGAUGACCCAUGUCAUUUAUUUGAAAGGGGCAAAUGCUCCACUACAAGAUGGACCUGCGUUGUAUUAGCUAGUAGGUGAGGUAACGGCUCACCUAGGCGACGAUACAUAGCCGACCUGAGAGGGUGAUCGGCCACACUGGGACUGAGACACGGCCCAGACUCCUACGGGAGGCAGCAGUAGGGAAUCUUCGGCAAUGGGGGCAACCCUGACCGAGCAACGCCGCGUGAGUGAAGAAGGUUUUCGGAUCGUAAAGCUCUGUUGUAAGUCAAGAACGAGUGUGAGAGUGGAAAGUUCACACUGUGACGGUAGCUUACCAGAAAGGGACGGCUAACUACGUG
RNAcentral lists this ribosomal RNA (496 nucleotides) under uncultured bacterium. Its description in RNAcentral is "partial 16S ribosomal RNA". It matches the Rfam family "Bacterial small subunit ribosomal RNA", at positions 29 to 507 of the family's 1533-position model. The record is from RNAcentral.